Molecule: ribosomal RNA, 497 nt
Filed under: uncultured bacterium
Lineage: Bacteria
Description: partial 16S ribosomal RNA
Rfam family: Bacterial small subunit ribosomal RNA
Source: RNAcentral
GACGAACGCUGGCGGCGUGCCUAAUACAUGCAAGUUGAGCGCUGAAGGUUGGUACUUGUACCAACUGGAUGAGCAGCGAACGGGUGAGUAACGCGUGGGGAAUCUGCCUUUGAGCGGGGGACAACAUUUGGAAACGAAUGCUAAUACCGCAUAAAAACUUUAAACACAAGUUUUAAGUUUGAAAGAUGCAAUUGCAUCACUCAAAGAUGAUCCCGCGUUGUAUUAGCUAGUUGGUGAGGUAAAGGCUCACCAAGGCGAUGAUACAUAGCCGACCUGAGAGGGUGAUCGGCCACAUUGGGACUGAGACACGGCCCAAACUCCUACGGGAGGCAGCAGUAGGGAAUCGUCGGCAAUGGACGAAAGUCGGACCGAGCAACGCCGCGUGAGGGAAGAAGGUUGUCGGAUCGUAAAACUCUGUUGGUAGAGAAGAACGUUGGUGAGAGUGGAAAGCUCAUCAAGUGACGGUAACUACCCAGAAAGGGACGGCUAACUACGUG